UUUUCCCCUCACUAUAAAUCAUUGUUCCUUACAGGAUCCACCCAUGGUGAUGAUAGCCCAGCAACCAAUGGGUGCACCCGGGGUGGUGGUGUCCCAUACAUCCAUGCAGGUUGGUGGAGCAGCUUAUGCCCCAGGUGCUCAGUUGCCAGCUUAUAACCCAGGUGCUUACGGGCCAGCAUAUCCAGUAGAUGCUCGUGGACAAGCAAUGCAUCAUGAGCAAAGAGUGGCGAGUCAUGAUAAGGCUCCUUUGGUGGUGUGAGCCAUCUUCAACCAGCUGUAAACACUGCUACUAGGUGAUGCCUGCAGUGUACUUUUAUUUUAUAGCUUCAUUGUCAGUAGUUUGCAGCACUUUGUUGAUGUUUAAUUUGUGCAGUUGUAAAGAAAGAACACUUAUUAACAUGCAGUAGAAGGAAAUUACGUUUAUGAGAGGAUAAACUUUUCAAAGCAUUAUUGAAACUCAUGAUGUAUAAGUAGUGUAAAUUUAUAGAGCCGAUUAUGUAAAUGGCAUUAAGUCUGGGUUAAGGAUGUGAUGGCUUUGACCAGCAUUUAGGCUACUUUAGAGAAUUGAAUUUUUUGAUUAGAUGCUUUGCUGUAUCUGAAUGGUUGUAAAAGAAUAUUUCGUUUCUUUUGUUCUUUUCGGUUACAAAACUCAAAUAUGAUGUCUUAAAAAUGUUUUCACACAGCUCUGUACUACACUAUUUAUGCAACCCUUCAGAAUAGCAAGACCGUAGGAGUAGGAUGCAUGCUGACUCCAAAACAAAAGCCACAUUUUCCAGAUUAUGUUUAAACGAGGUCUUCGUGAACUCUUGCUCAUUUGCAUUCAAAUAAUUCAAUUCAGACCCCACUAAGCUGUGGUUUUGGAGUUGUCGUGGAAACCUUGAUUUAGCACCCAUUCACCCAUUCUAGGACCCAUCCCGGACCCAUUCUAGGCUUCAUUUUAAUAACUGGCUCAUAGGUUUUGGGCAAAAAUGUGAUUUGGUUUGUUUGCUUCCUGGGCAGGUUCGUAUUGUGAGCCUCUUAUUUCUGUCUGUAGGAAAGUCAGUUUAAACAUUUUAUUUCCAGGGUGUACACCUUUAGUUAAAACUCUAGGUUCGUACCACCCGUGUUAUAGUUUAAAGUGUAAGGUAAAAUAUGUAGUUACAAAGAAAAGCUCAAAAGCGUUUUGUUAUCAUUUAUGUUAUUUUCGCAGAUAAGAUACAUUUAACAGAUGUGUUUUUGACAGGGUACAUUUUAGAGAUAAUGGAAUUUGUUAGGAGACCACUUAGGGGGUGACGAUGAAGACCUCACAUUCUUUGAAUGCUUUUUAUCUUGUAAUGCCUGUACCCCUCCUCGUUAGUCUCCUCAGUCGAUCAAGAUGGUAGAAGUCGUGCACAAGCUAAAGAAGUAGUUUUCACUUGCAUGUACAUGUGAAUGCACAAGCAUAGUUGUUUUUUAGUUUAACAUACACAGGUAACCUUGUGUAACUUUUGAAAACUCCAGCUACGAGGAGAGCAGUAGUUUUAAUAGAAAAGAAAAGGCCACUUAAAGGUCUUCUGGCUUUUAAUGAUCCUCUCUGUAAGGCAAGUAAUAGUGCUAGUGGCUUCUGAGUAGACAGUAGUAUUUUUUAGUCUGUGAAGAGUUCCUCUCUGUUUUAUUCUUGACAAACCAAUCCAGCACAGAACUGGAAUUCCUUGCGUAGUCAUCGGCAAAUUUUAGCAUCGACGAUGUCCUCGUUUGUUUUUCUUUACUGUGGAUUUCGUGCUUUUUGGACAAGGUGAUGACGCAAUCACAUCGAUCAGUUUGUUAAAAUCUCUGUUGAUUUCUCGGGCUGGGCGUCUCUGCCCCAUAUGCGCUAGUGGUUUGUCCUCGUCCAAUAUAACGGAGACACAGGGAGCCGGAGACGAACUCGUACACAUACAGUGACAACCAUUUAACUUUUGUUGCUACAAUCCCACAAACGGGACUCGCUAGCUCUGUAAAACGUAUUGUGAUUAUUUUUCGAUGAGGGCGGCUGUAACAUGUACACAGGUUAAAGUUUAGUUGUCCCCAAGAGAUUAUGAUCAUAAUCUCUUGUUAAUCUCUUGGUGUUUCUAAAAACUGUGUCACAAACGAUAGAGACCGCUUUUGAAUCAGUUGUACUGCUAGUAGAAUAAAUAUGCUUUAAGGCGACUAAAUGGCACUGCUGUUUUCAUCGUUGAAUUUUGGUGGUGGUGGUGGUAACCCUAACCCUUACAGAUACUUAUCGUGCUUAAACGAUUGUCUUAGUUACGACACUGAACAACAAUAAGACCCAAGAGAGUAUGAUCCGUUAGGGAGUUAAUCACCCAUGUAAUCCUUGUUCUCAAGACAAUCCCGCCAAAGGUAUUAUUAGAUAUGGUAUCCAGUUCUCCUGCAGACUGUUGCCACGUGGCUGUUUUCGUGGAGGACGUGGAGGAUGCAAAAGUAGGUAAUUACCUUUUAAAUAAGUCCCACGUGGAGGAUUUACUUUCUUACCCUUUGGCUUUUCAUCUUUUCUUUAAAUGAUAUUAGACUUGUAGGAAACGAGUCAAGUUUUUUUUAGUUAUCUAAACUGGUGGUAAGUUUUCUAACAAUUUUUGAUAAAUCCAUUUUGGCACUGAGCUUGAUGAAAUGUCUAGGUAAGCACUACAUAUAAUUCUACUUAUGCGUUUACAUCUUCAUUUAACUGUUAGCGUUCAUAGAUUUUCCAAAACUCCUUUGGCAAUAUCGCUACGAAUUGAGCAUCUCUGCCAUCAUCGCAAAGCCAUUUACCCUUACUAAUAUGUCAGUGAUACUGUUUAGUAUUAAAUGCCGGAUAGCUGUACAUCCUGUCUUCUCCUUGUCUGUUGUAGUGUCCCCACUUUCCAGGGUACUGUGAGCCGUCAUUUCCCCACCGAUGACACAGCACGGCUGAUUAUAAGGGUUAUCGUCUUCCAUUUUCUGAAACAGAUUGCACGAGAAGGGCAACUUGUUCUUCUGGCCGCUGAAGUACUGGACUACAGCUUCACCAGUGCUAUUAGUGGCCGUGGUCACAUGGAACGUACGUCACUGUUGUUUACUGCAGUGGAAUCUCAUCUGAGAGUGCGUGCUUCUCCGAGUUCAUUCAUUGCACUGAAAGUGAUUCCCAUUUCGUUACUGAGAUAAUUGCUGAUUCCGCGGUAUGAAGUUUCAGCGCUGGCGGUCCAGUUAUUGGGAGGAGUUGAGCUGUCCAUAACAAAGUUAGCGAUCGCCAAGAAUCCAGCCUCCUGGAAAUUAAAGAUAAUGAAGGAAAAGCUGAAAACACCUGUCUUUACUGCGCAACCAUAAGCGACAUGCACAGCAGGAUUGGCAACUUGGUGGACCUUGUAGUUUUGUACCUUUACAUGUGUGAGAGGGUAGUCUGUGGUAAACUGCGUACAAUGUCAAUUUACCUCCAUCAGCUGUCAUGUCACAGUAAACUUUCAAAGGGUUUCCACUGUUUUCAGGAUCGAUCCAGUACUCCCCGUCUCCUUCAGAGGAGCCACUUUCCAAUAUAUGUUUACAAGAAUGUCCAGGAUUCGCUGGAUCUUCGCCUAAAGGAAUCUCUAAUAAUAGUAAUAAUAAUAAUGACUUUAUCACCGUUUCAAUUACAUCUAGCAGGAGAAUCGAUCCCCACUGCUAAUAGGGGACACCUAACUAGAACUAUCUAAAAAUAAUAUACUGAAAAGUCCCAUAAGAGAAACAGUUAAAAUUAUGAGUUACGAAGAUGGUAGCCACUACAUCCAUCUAGCAUCCAGGAUGUUGUUUAGAUCUAGCCUCCGUACGUGGGUCUUGAUCUGCUUGAGAUUUAUCGCCGAUCUUUCUUUAUUUGUCAGUUUGCUCCACAUAGUCUUGGGCCUAGAUAUCGAAUUGAAUGUUGUCCAUAUGUAACAGUGUUAAAUCUAGGUAAAUGAAAAUCUCUCUGCCGUAAACUGUAAGUGUGGCUAUAAGUAUAAAACAUGUUACAAAUAGUCCGCGGGCACAAAUUAAGUUAAACCGUAUACAUUAAAAUACAUAUGUCUUGUAGUCUCCUGUUAUACAAUUUUGGUAGAUUGGCUUUCUCUAACACCUGCUGGUAGCUAGACAACUUAUCUCUUAAAACAGCACGAAGUCCUCGCUCCUGUACUCUCUCUAAUCUACGAGUGUCCGUGGCUCUGCAAAAAUGCCACACUAGGUAAUAUACAAGAAUUAUAUAUUAGGGCUGGCUAAUCGCAAAACUCUAGAUCAAGAUAACGUCCAAGAGGUGCUAAGAGCUUUACCCGUUCAUGUACUUGCAAAUUGGAAACACUUUCUUGAAAUUGCCACAAAAAUUGGCCGAUAGCCCAAUUGGAUAGGGGGACGAAAAAGGUUCAAGUCGAAGAAUACAUAAAUAUAUUAUCGUUGGGAGGGGUUGGGCCCCUUUCGUAGAUAAUUUAUAAAAAAAGAAAAUGAAUGAACCGGGUAGGCACCAUGGCUUAUUUUAAUAUGGCUUAUUUUAAUUCAAUUGUUACCAAUCGAUCAAUCUUCCGCCGCAGUUCUUACGGAACAUACGCAGCGGUAUCCUCAGAUGGGUCAGUUUAUUUAUACACGGUAAAUUCCACUCAGUUGUAUACAAGCAAAAAUAUCUACAAAUGU
This is a long non-coding RNA of Orbicella faveolata, 4587 nucleotides long. The record is from RefSeq and is a predicted model, not a curated record. Lineage: Eukaryota; Metazoa; Cnidaria; Anthozoa; Scleractinia; Merulinidae.